AAAAUGUAGAUAAAAGUUUUUUUACAUGUUUUCAAAUGUAAAACAAAAAAGAAGAUCUACAUUUUUUUACAUACUUUCAGAUGUUGAAAAAACGUAUAUAUACGUUUGGACCAUUUAAGGGUUAAGAGAUGACAGAAGCAGAGCUCUCUGGACAAAGUUUUUGUGUAACAGGGGUCCAGUGACUCUCAAGCUGAUCUUAGUGCCAGUAAAAGACAAAGAAGGAAAGUAACCUUGGAUAGGGCUUUAAUACCAGAAGUCCUUAUGGAGGGGGAUUCCCCUUCCAAACAAUAACCUCUCCUCCCUCUCUCCUCCUCGUCUUCUUCCAUAUGCCAACGAGAGUCUUCAAUAAAGGUAUGUAAUAAUGAUUUAAAUGUUCAUUUAUCCAUUAAAAUUAGUCAUUUAUAUUUAUUUCUCAUUGUUUUCUGUAUGUAAAAAGGAGUUAUUCUCUAUAAAAUGUAUUUUUUGUUAAUAUUUUUGAGUGUCUGGAACGGAUUAAUUGGAUUUACAUUAUUUCUUAUGGGAAAUAUUACUUCGAUUUUUGUCCAUUUUGGAUUUCAACCUACGUUCUGGAAUGGAUUAAGGAUGAAAACCAGGGUUCCACUGUACAUAUAGGCAUUUUGUUGUAACACUGACAAUUUGUAACUUGUUUACUCUUGCAUUAUGUGAUAAUUGGUAAGACUUUUUUUCCUUAGUAGUUAUAUUGUUUGUUAAGGCAUGUAAACCAUCAUGUAGUUUUAUGUUGCAGGUAACAGCAUUACUUCCAUGGCAGAGAUGGCCUCAAGAGAUAUUAUAAUAACCACAACAUUAAUUACUACUGGAAUUGCUGUAUUGACAUUAUUAUAUUGGGUAACUUUUAAACGCCAACCUCACAAGACUGUCAUGAGGCCUCGCAAGGCCACUGACAUCAUAUGCUGCACCCUCAACAUCCCCUACCCUCAACCUCCCCAACCAUCUCUGCUCCAAGUGUCUUGGAAUGACAGCUCGGGUCAUCUGCCAACCAAAGAAAUGUGUUGAAGGAGACGGACUGAAAAAAAUCCUGAGACAUCACUUUUUGAUCUACCUACCUGAUUAAUCAUAGUCAACCGCAGGCAACUACCCCUCAUCUUUGCAGUGGUGAAGAACCUGCGUUCCUAUCAUCUGGACAGACUAUUCAAGGCUAUAGACUCUGUGAAGAACUAGUCGUUGGGUUGUCACUCAACAUCCGUGACCCCUCCCCAUCAUCAGCAAUGGCUACAAUUUCUACAACACGCGGUGCCAACAACAUCGGACACCCCAGUCUAACUGUAUAUAUUAGCGUUGAAUUCAGAUAUUUUUAUAUUUCAUUUUUCUUUCAAGUAGGAUACAUAUUCAUGUUUCAAUGUUUUAUCUUUGCAUUACUAAAUAAUAAAGUGUUUAUCUUUGUGAA
This is a non-coding RNA of Cherax quadricarinatus, 1405 nucleotides long. NCBI's taxonomy places the organism in Eukaryota, Metazoa, Arthropoda, Malacostraca, Decapoda, Parastacidae. The record is from RefSeq and is a predicted model, not a curated record.